Molecule: unclassified non-coding RNA, 262 nt
Filed under: Hevea brasiliensis (rubber tree)
Lineage: Eukaryota; Viridiplantae; Streptophyta; Magnoliopsida; Malpighiales; Euphorbiaceae
Source: RNAcentral
AAAAAAGGAUGAGACAGGCCAUUGGGAGAGCAGGCUUUAUGCGAGAUAUGCUUUUCUCAACUCUCUUAGAGGACUAAUGAAAGCAGUAAGUUAUUACCAAAUGGAUGCAAAAAUGAAUAAAUUAACAGACGUUGAAUUGAUUCUUAUGGCUUUAUUUGUUGUCAACCCAAUAUUAAACUCAUUGAGAUCAAACACUCUUUGACGACGGUUGAUGAUAAUAUCCAUCAUUACAACCAGUGAAUGGAUUACAUUGAAUAUAAAG